GUACCUUCAAGCUCUGCUUGGUGUUGGGUGUUUGUCCUUGCCCUAGUGGCGGGACUCGCCUUAAAGUAAUUGGCAGCCAGUGUUUUGGUUUUGAAGCGCAGCACAAGUCGCGAUUCAAGUCUAUACGCUAGUUUCCACAAGUCUUUUAUCAC
Molecule: unclassified non-coding RNA, 152 nt
Filed under: uncultured Leptosphaeriaceae
Lineage: Eukaryota; Fungi; Ascomycota; Dothideomycetes; Pleosporales; Leptosphaeriaceae
Description: sequence contains ITS2
Source: RNAcentral